UGGGGAAUCUUGCGCAAUGGGCGAAAGUCUGACGCAGCAACGCCGCGUGCGGGAAGACGGCCUUAGGGUUGUAAACCGCUUUCAGGGGGGACGAAGCUUCCGAGGUUAAUAGCCUACGGGGUGACGGUACCCCCAGAAGAAGCACCGGCUAACUACGUGCCAGCAGCCGCGGUAAUACGUAGGGGGCGAGCGUUGUCCGGAAUCAUUGGGCGUAAAGCGCGUGUAGGCGGCUUGGCAAGUCUGGUGUGAAAUCUUGGGGCUCAACCGCAAGCGUGGACUGGAAACUGCCUCGCUAGAGUCCGGGAGAGGAGAGCGGAACUCCCAGUGUAGCGGUGAAAUGCGCAGAUAUUGGGAAGAACACCGAUGGCGAAGGCAGCUCUCUGGAACGGUACUGACGCUGAGACGCGAAAGCGUGGGGAGCGAACAGGAUUAGAUACCCCCGUAGUCC
RNAcentral lists this ribosomal RNA (448 nucleotides) under uncultured prokaryote. RNAcentral describes it as "bacterial SSU rRNA". It matches the Rfam family "Bacterial small subunit ribosomal RNA", at positions 355 to 796 of the family's 1533-position model. The record is from RNAcentral.